UACGGAGGGUCCAAGCGUUGUUCGGAUUCAUUGGGCGUAAAGGGUGCGUAGGCGGAAUGAUAAGUCAGUGGUGAAAGCCUGCAGCUUAACUGCAGAACUGCCAUUGAUACUGUCAAUCUUGAGUACAUUUGAUGUGGGCGGAAUGUGUCAUGUAGCGGUGAAAUGCUUAGAUAUGACACAGAACACCGAUUGCGAAGGCAGCUCACAAAACUGUAACUGACGCUGAGGCACGAAAGCGUGGGUAUCAAACAGG
RNAcentral lists this ribosomal RNA (253 nucleotides) under uncultured bacterium. Its description in RNAcentral is "partial 16S ribosomal RNA". It matches the Rfam family "Bacterial small subunit ribosomal RNA", at positions 524 to 776 of the family's 1533-position model. The record is from RNAcentral.